RNAcentral lists this ribosomal RNA (459 nucleotides) under uncultured bacterium. Its description in RNAcentral is "partial 16S ribosomal RNA". It matches the Rfam family "Bacterial small subunit ribosomal RNA", at positions 29 to 507 of the family's 1533-position model. The record is from RNAcentral.
AGCGAACGCUGGCGGCAGGCCUAACACAUGCAAGUCGAACGAACCUUUCGUGGUUAGUGGCGGACGGGUGAGGAACACGUGGGAACGUGCCUUUAGGUUCGGAAUAAUUCAGGUAAACUUGUGCUAAUACCGAAUGUGCCCUUCGGGGGAAAGAUUUAUCGCCUUUAGAGCGGCCCGCGUCUGAUUGGCUAAGUGGGUGGGGUAAUGGCCCACCAAGGCGACGAGCAGUAGCUGGUCUGAGAGGAUGAUCAGCCACAUUGGAAGUGAGACACGGCCCAGACUCCUACGAGAGGCAGCAGUGGGGAAUAUUGGACAAUGGGCGCAAGCCUGAUCCAGCCAUACCGCGUGGGUGAAGAAGGCCGUCGGGUGGUAAAGCCCUGUUGUUGGGAAAGAAAAGCAGCAGGUUAAUACCCCGCUGUUCUGACGGGACCCAAAGAAUAAGCACCGGCUAACUUCGUG